Molecule: ribosomal RNA, 466 nt
Filed under: uncultured bacterium
Lineage: Bacteria
Description: partial 16S ribosomal RNA
Rfam family: Bacterial small subunit ribosomal RNA
Source: RNAcentral
GAUGAACGCUGGCGGCGUGCUUAACACAUGCAAGUCGAACGAUGAAGCCCAGCUUGCUGGGUGGAUUAGUGGCGAACGGGUGAGUAACACGUGAGUAACCUGCCCUUAACCCUGGGUUAAGCCUGGGAAACUGGUUUUAUUCCCGAAUAGGAGCGUCCCCCGCUGGGUGGGUGUUGGAGGGAUUUAUCGGUUUUGGAUGGACUCGCGGCCUAUCAGCUUGUUGGUGAGGUAAUGGCUCACCAAGGCGACGACGGGUAGCCGGCCUGAGAGGGUGACCGGCCACACUGGGACUGAGACACGGCCCAGACUCCUACGGGAGGCAGCAGUGGGGAAUAUUGCACAAUGGGCGCAAGCCUGAUGCAGCGACGCCGCGUGAGGGAUGACGGCCUUCGGGUUGUAAACCUCUUUCAGUAGGGAAGAAGCGAAAGUGACGGUACCUGCAGAAGAAGCACCGGCUAACUACGUG